RNAcentral lists this long non-coding RNA (587 nucleotides) under Lepisosteus oculatus (spotted gar). RNAcentral describes it as "lncRNA (ENSLOCG00000022033.1)". The record is from RNAcentral. Lineage: Eukaryota; Metazoa; Chordata; Actinopteri; Semionotiformes; Lepisosteidae.
AUGGGGAGAGGAGUGGGUGUGAUGGAUUUCCUUUUGCCUGGAUUGUUAGCAUGGCUCUGUGUUGCAGUGGCCCAAGCCCAGCUCAAGGGUCCAGGUGCUGUUUUUGGUGAUGAGGAAGGUUAUGAUGGUUUUGAGCCAAAUGUGGGUAGUCCUGUAUUCCAGGAGACCCCACCAGAUAGAUACGAUGGUUAUUCUGCUGGAGAAACAAGAGGGGUGCUAAAUGGGGAAGAGCAGGACUUGAUGGAAAUGAGCUCUGAUGCUGAGGGGGAAGAACUGGAUAAGGACUCUGGUGCUGAUGUGCAGAGAGAUGUGGCAGCAGUGACAACUGGUCCCUCUGAAGCAGAUCCUCCCUCAUCUGAUCCUGACUCUCAGGGUGACCCUGAGCAGCAGCAAUCCCACAGCCGCCCCCUGCUGUCCUGUGGCAAGAGCAGCAUGAUGCUCAAGUUCUCUGUGAGGCGGUUCAGCCGAGUCUACCUGCUGAAGGGUGAGGUUCUACCCUGCUUGUACUUGCAUUGUCCCUAUACAUGGACAGGUUCUCCAUCCUCUGUUUUGGAGCUCAAAACCUGUUCAUGUGCCAUCUGAGCUGU